RNAcentral lists this ribosomal RNA (207 nucleotides) under uncultured Synergistaceae bacterium. RNAcentral's name for it is "partial 16S ribosomal RNA". It matches the Rfam family "Bacterial small subunit ribosomal RNA", at positions 568 to 775 of the family's 1533-position model. Lineage: Bacteria; Thermotogati; Synergistota; Synergistia; Synergistales; Synergistaceae. The record is from RNAcentral.
CGCGCAGGCUGUAGAUCAAGUCAGCUGUGAAAUGUCUGGGCUUAACCCGGGCAUGCGGUUGAAACUGAUGUACUGGAGUGCUGUAGAGGCAAGUGGAAUUCCCAGUGUAGCGGUGAAAUGCGUAGAUAUUGGGAAGAACACCGGUGGCGAAGGCGACUUGCUGGGCAGCAACUGACGCUGAGGCGCGAAAGCCAGGGGAGCAAACGG